CAGAUGUUCCAAGAAUGUUCUAUCAUGAACUCAGUCUUUUUUCCCAGAUGCCUGAUAUAUCCAGACUGCACAUAAAUGGAUGUCUUCUGUGAGAUCAGAAUCUUUCCCCAUUUUGAGAGACGCUCUGGAAGAUUUAAAUUCCAUGAAAAAAAUCUUUGAAGCCAACUCCACUCGGAUAACGAUCAGAAUUCCGCAAUAAUGCAAAAUACAUCAGUGCUGAGACAGACAACUGUUGGGACUUUUGAACCUUCAGAGUAUAUUUUUUUUAUUGGACUUUUAUUCGUAAAUACAACAAGCUUUAGUUUCUGUGAAGCAGACGGCUCAGUGAAAAGGGGAGAAGCUGAAACCAACAUAGGCAGGUGUCAAGCAAAUGUCUCCAAGAAGCUCUUGCAAGGGUUGUGGUAUGGACCUUCACUUCCUUUUAUUAUUCUGCUUACCAUCUCACUUCUGGGAUUUGGACUUAAUUGCUGGGUGAUUCUGUGAUGUAACCAUCUAGCUGCAUACCUGUUGCUUAAAUAGGAGUCCAGCUGGUCUCCGAAGAAAGAUUCAUCUACCUCCUGUACAGCCCAAGCUCAUUCAGGUACCUUCUCCUCAAGGCUGGUUCAUUGUUGCUUCAAGAUCUUUUUCACUGACAAAAUCGUUAGAUUCACCCUCAAUAUAUUUAGUUAUACCUUUUGAACUCCGCUUACAAAAAUGUAGAAGGCUUUAGAAAAAAGAAAAUUGUGUUCCAAAGUCGUGAAUGUUCUCAGCCUCAUCAAUUAUUUUUAAUAUUAAAAGUCAGCAGAUGGAGCCAAAGACUUGUAGAAAAAUUACUUGUGCUUGAAUGUAUAUUAAACCACAAAACCCACACAGUUUAACUAAUAGUCCUUCUACUGAAAUUUAUAAUAGCAAGGCUAUUUAAGUUUGGUGCUAACCCUCAUUCUAGCAUCCCUAUUUCAUACUCUGUGCAGAAUGAGAGCUCACCCCUUCAUACACUGGGAGUCUAACAAGACUAAAGAGAGCAAAGUUGGAGCUGGAACCUGAUUUUCUUUGCAGAUUUAUAUCUGUGUGAGGUUUUCUGAAGCCUUGAUCACCACUUUAUCAGAAAAAUGGUAUUAUGUUUUGUCAAUAUUUUCACUUCUCCUGUGAGCACAGUAGUUGGAAUCCACUAUUGACGGUUAGAUGGGAAUUCAUUACGACCUCAUUUUUGCUACUGCACAGUUGGUAAGGUACUGGGGUUUGGCGUUUUUCCCCUGAAGCAACUGAAAUCGGCCUUUGCCUCAGAUAAUAUGUCAGACUUGAUACUCUAAUAGGCUACCCUAUGCUUUUAUUGAAUGUUAACAUCCUUUUGGGGUCUUAAAUAAUAUCUUUAGAAAAAUAAGGGGGUGAAAUGUUUUCCAAACAGUGUAUAAUUUAUCCCACACUAAUAAAGUAAAAAAAAUCCCAAAGGCAAUAAAUAUAUCUACCUUUUGCAGGAAGGAGGGAAAAACACCUGUCAUAGCUAUAAAAUGUAUUUAAAGGGUGAUGAUAUGGCAGAACAGAGAUACAUACUGUUUUGCCAUUCAGCAAAGAUGGAAAACGAAUAUUUACGUGGCUGAUGGCAGCUGUCUUAAUUAAAACUGUUAAAUUUCAUUUUUUAAAUUCUUGGUCCUCUAAAUCUAAUCCUCUGAAAGGCUGUGAUGUAUACAUGUUAUCCCUGGAAUAUAAAGUGGUAUAUAAAUAUAUGUUUAAGUGUUGCACUUUGUUCGCCUUCGUUUUGAUGAUGCUUGGUUAGGUCUCUUUAGUUUGGAGCAAGCAUCUACUUAAAGUGGCUUUGCAAGCUUGGCUUAUUGGCCAAGUUAAAAGCUUUGCUUAUUUGUCUCUUUAUCUGGCCUCAUCUAUGCCUAAAUUAUCAUUUCCCCCACUCAUCCUGUUCAGAGACAGCAAUAAAACUUCAGCCAGUUGUACCAGCUUGCUGACUUGCUUUCCUCUAAUCAGCAUUGACUGUAAUAGCAAGACUUUCUAACAUUGACAUUUUUCUUUUGAAUGAUACAAACAUUUUUUAGUUUCAGAUUCACUCCUAACUUACUGGAGGCAUUUCCGUUUUUCUCCCUAAAUAAAGGUAUCUAGUCACUUCCAAUAAAAUUAUGAUUUUUUUUUUUCAAGCCUGGAAGUUGUACCAAAAACCCAUAAAACACAGGACUAGGGAGUGCACCCCGAAUUAUGUCUUAUUCUCAUCUCUUAUAAGUGCAAGUAGCCACAUCUUGGAGUCUCACUGUGAUGGGUAUCUUCUAUGUCCAUAUUCACUGUAAAAGAAUAGUAAUGCAUUUUAGAAUAAAGACAAUGUAAAUUUGUGGCAUAGGGAGACAGUGGUUUUUUGCUGAAUUUAAAAGCAACUUCUGGAUAUGCAGUCCAAGUUCAGCAUUGAUUUCCACAGAGAUAAACACAGAUAUCCUCUGUGUAAUACUGCCCUGAAAGAGCAAAUGCUGUUUUGGUUUUUGAGAGAAGAAUGUUUUGGCUAAUGAAGAACAGUUGGUAGAUAUGGUGACCACCAUAGUAGCGUGUACAUCCUGAAGAGGCUAUGAAAAGCUGCAGUAACUAGCUAGUGUUUCAAUGUUGCAAACUUCCCUGUGUGAGUUGUUGCCUUUGUCACACUAAAAAUGUUCUUCUGAUAUUAUGCAUCUAUCCUAGUCUUUAGCUGUGAACAAACCUAAUUGAGUGCUUUUUAAUUUUAUACCGUUUUUUUCAAGAUGUCUACCUCCAUAGUAUUGGGCUUUUUUAUCCUCAGGUAUUUCUUAAUCAUUUUAAAUUGAAAAGGUACAUACAAUUACAACAUGUAUAAUGUAUUGAGAGAAAGUGGUGAUGCAGUUUUGCACUAUUUAAGAUAUUCAUAAUCCACUCCAGUAUUUUAGAGAAUGGCAGCUGUUGAGACCUAGUAGUUACAGUGAAAAAACUGCAAACGAGGAAAUCUGAUCAUGAAGGAAUGCUUCAGAAGAUCUGAUAGAACAUUUAAAACUACAUGGGGGGAAAAAAAUCUUAAAGAAUAUAACGAAUACAGAAAAGAUUCUUGCAUUGGUGGAUAGGCUAGAUAAGCUUACUUUAGACUGGAUCCAGUCGUUUUGGUGUAUUUCUUGUGGCCUGCACAUUUUGGAUUAUGCAUAAACUCAGCUUUAACUUAAAAAGCAAAGUUUCUAUCUCUCAAGGCUGUGAGGGAGUGACAGUAGCAGUCUUAUAGUUCUGACUCUGCAGAUAGGGCAAAAGUGUAUACUCUGGACAUGUAAAGUCUUCAUUGGCCAUUUUGGUGAAGGUCCUAGCAGAUGUGUUGGGCAGGGAAUAGACGUGAAACCUCACAGGAUAGGAGAUGGAAGGUUCUGCAAAGAAAGAACUCUAGAUAGGAGCAGAAGAGAUAUGCAUAGAUAGAAAAGGGAGAGAAACAAAAAGUAAGAAAAGCAGGUUUUGUUAUGUCAUGGUACUGUAUAAACUGCUAAAAGAUUGUGCUUUGCUAUGUGAAAUGCCAAUGUUACAGUGCUCCAGUUCACUCUUUCGUAAACUUCAGGUUGUCCUCCUUGCCUUUCCCAAGCUUCUGUUUGGCAAUCUGUUGCCAGGUAUUUUUGCAUGAUGGCUGUAGUGGCAUUUUCUGUGUUACUCAUGCAUGUUGCAACCUGAGGGAACUUAUUUUUAAGGUCCCUUCAUGGUCCACAUGCGGUUUCCUUUUGAAAGACCCAUAAUUGAUUAAAACAAUUUGUAAAUUGGCUCUUUUCCUUCUCUUUCUCCUCACAGAUGACUAUUUCCUUAUCGUUAGGGUGCAAACUCCCCGAACAGAUCUUUCUUCACCUUUUUGGAAAGUAUUCUAACACAUAGUAAAUCAUAAAGCAAACCAAUAAAUAAACACCAACAAUAGUGAAACUGAAUUUUGCUCAUAGUUUAUGCUGCAUAUUCUGGUGAGGCAGGAGAAUCCUGUUGUGCUUUCACCAUACUUCAGCAGUGCUUGCACAUCUCUGCAGAAUGUGUUUGAUUCCUUUACUGAAUCACAGUAUGUUUCCCAUGUCCCAUACCUGAUACUAGGAAAGAGGCUCACCUGUUUUAAAUAAGAAAUUAAUUUGCAUAGGUGUUUAGAAAUACUGAAAUACAUUGAUGCAAGCUGUAAUUGGUUUGGAUCUUGAAAGUUUAAAAAUGAUGUUAGUAGGCCUGUCACUAAAAAGACAGGGGUGGCGGGGAAGGUGUAGAAAUAUUUAUUCAUCUGAUGACAGCUGAGAGGUUUAGGCAAAUAAAAAAUGUGUUAAAAGAUAAAAUAGUUUGGAAUUCUUUCAUUUGAAUAUAGCUCCUGGCUGUCAUUGUCAGAAUAUACCUGGUAUGCUUUGCAGCACACGUCAGGAAUUACUACUUUUACAAUCAGUGUUCUUUUUUUCUUUUUCUUCCAAAUUGGACAGCUCUUCCAUAGCAAGUUAACAAAUCCUUGAGAGGCAAAGAAGUCGCAACUCUGCUUCUAUUGUAAAUGCUUGUUGUACCAGAGGUGGGAGACCCUUUUCAUGAGUUAAUCAAAAAGACCUAUGCAAACAAGCAAGAGGAUUUUUUUCCUCAGUCAGUCACUACAGUUACAGAGCCUGACAUUGUUAGGUGAACCUUCGUGAUCUCAUAGGCUACUGCAUAUUCCUGUGUGCCAGACCUCUCAAUAAAAGUGUGGGGCACUGCAUACGCAAAUUCAUUGCAGCUGUCACAGCUGGCUGUGGUGAAGUUUGGUCAAGACCCUUUGAACUUUUUAUUUCACACUAAUCCCAUUUAGUGUGAUCAAUAUAUGGACCUCCAGCUCCUCGGUCUGUUAAUUAGGUGUCAAGUGUUGGGUUGGCUGGUGUCAGGCUGUAAAAUACAAACACAGAAGAGACUAUCAGUAGGGAAGUGAAGUGUUUAUUGUCUGCUGUAUAGGAGCCAUUGGUUCUGGAAAAACUCCCUUCCUAUCCUGAGAUGUCCUUAGGGAUCUCUAGUGCCUUUUGUUUCUCUCAGUAAUGUAAACAUAUAGUUAUUUAAGUGUUUUACCAAAAAUGUUGGUGUAGCUGGGGAUUGCAGAAUUGUGCAGAAGAUCCAAUUCUACUAAUAAUUUCAUGCUGGGAUGCCCCUUUACCUCCCUCCCCCCCUUAAUAGAAGUGCUUAUUAAUUGGUCUGAUAAUUAUUUGUUCUGGGUUGUUCAAGAUGAGAAUGGCUUCUUGUUUUUCUUAGAUACAUGUAAAAUAAAACUGCUCCUAAGACUUUACCUACAUUUAUUUUAACCCACACUUUGUAACACUCGGGGAAUAGACAGGAUAGCCAAGAUCUUAAUUUCCUUCAUCUUAAAGAAUCUUGGGAGAUUUUUGAACUCCCCCAUCUUCAGUUCUCCAUCAUCCAGGAAAGGGUAAAUAUGUAGAAUAAUAUUUCAGCUUUCAUACAUUUUGGGUUCCUUUAUUUCAGUCCUCCAGUGACAGAAAGUACUGGGGAGUUCUGAGUAGUUUGUUUCAUCUCCUUUGAAGAAAAACUUAAAUUUAUAAUCCCAGAUCAGACCUUUCCUAUAACUCAUGCAACUCAUCCUGUUAACUGUUUUAAUAUAUGGCACCACUAUUUCAUUAAACAACAUCCAGGAAUAAUUAGUUCAGCAACGAUGCCUCAGAACAAAAGCCCUUGAUUUCGUUUAACUUUAUAAGUUGGUCUCUUUUGAUCUGCAAGAGCACAUCUGGGGCCUUUAAGAAAGCAGAAAGAAAAAUAUUAAAUGUUUAGUAAGGCUGUUGGUGAAGGUUUUCAAAGCACAGUAACCCUUUGGUACCAGGAUGUAGCUCAGAGGCAAAAAAAGUGUGAAUUUCUUAUUUCAUAAGAUAUCAUAUGGCAGCUUUCUGUGGUAAAUGCUGUUUUUGUUAGCAGAUGACCAUUACAUUCUAGCUUUGUUAUUUCCAACUUCAUAAGGUGCAGUUUCUUCAUUCUUUACCCCAUUUUUUUCCCUUCAUUUUUCUGCCCUUUCUCUUUCCUCACUCAGUUGCAUGUGAAUAGAUGCAUCAAAAUCAUCAUUAUAAACCUGACUCUUUUCUACCACGUAUCUAUGCAUUUGAAUUUGUUUUUGCUCUGUCAAACUUUGCACUGUACUGCUUUGUUCCUUUAAUAGCUUAGCAUUAUCUGCCAAGGUGGUAGGGAUAAAUCCAUUUGUUCUUUCUCUAGACUCAACUGCUGAGAUUUCGAAAAUAUUAUACAAUGCAGAAGAUAUAAAUUUACUUGUCUAAUCCUAAACACUGUUGCUGGCUUGGAUUAGACAUUGCUUUCCAGUUCAACUGUGUAAAAUUUACUACUUUAAAAAUCCUACAUCAAGGAAAAGUUAUAAGACUUUGUGUACCAAUUGUUCUUAAUUUCAUAAAAUAAAAAGGAUUAUUGCAGAAGA
Long non-coding RNA from Dromaius novaehollandiae (emu), 6352 nucleotides. RefSeq lists it as uncharacterized. The record is from RefSeq and is a predicted model, not a curated record. The transcript has 2 exons. Lineage: Eukaryota; Metazoa; Chordata; Aves; Casuariiformes; Dromaiidae.